AGAGUUUGAUCCUGGCUCAGGGUGAACGCUGGCGGCGCGCUUAAUGCAUGCAAGUCGAACGUGCCUUCGGGCAAGUGGCAGACGGCUGAGUAACGCGUGAGUAACGUGCCCUCCGGUGGGGUAUAGCCUCGGGAAACUGAGAGUAAUCCCGCAUACGCUCCGGUGGCCUUGGUUGCCGGAUGAAAGCCUUCGGGCGCCGGAGGAGCGGCUCGCGUCCUAUCAGGUAGUUGGUGGGGUAAAAGCCCACCAAGCCGAUGACGGGUAGCUGGUCUGAGAGGACGAUCAGCCAGAGGGGGACUGAGACACGGCCCCCACUCCUACGGGAGGCAGCAGCAGGGAAUUUUGGGCAAUGGGCGAAAGCCUGACCCAGCGACGUCGCGUGAGGGAAGAAGGCCUUAGGGCUGUAAACCUCUUUUCCCGGGGAAGAGAAAGGACGGUACCCGGGGAAUAAGCUCCGGCUAACUACGUGCCAGCAGCCGCGGUAAUACGUAGGGAGCAAGCGUUACCCGGAAUUACUGGGCGUAAAGAGCGCGUAGGCGGCUUGGCUAGUCUCUUGUGAAAGCUCCCGGCUCAACUGGGAGAGGUCAAGGGAUACUAUUUGACUAGAGGACAGCAGAGGUAAGCAGAAUUCCCGGUGUAGCGGUGGAAUGCGUAGAUAUCGGGAGGAACACCAGUGGCGAAAGCGGCUUACUGGGCUGUAUCUGACGCUGAGGCGCGAGAGCGUGGGGAGCAAACUGGAUUAGAUACCCAGGUAGUCCACGCCCUAAACGAUGGAUACUAGGUAUGGGGGGUAUUGACCCCCUCCGUGCCGUAGCUAACGCGUUAAGUAUCCCGCCUGGGGACUACGGCCGCAAGGCUAAAACUCAAAGGAAUUGACGGGGGCCCGCACAAGCGGUGGAGCGUGUGGUUUAAUUCGAUGCUAAGCGAAGAACCUUACCCGGGCUUGACAUGUUGGUAGUAGGGACCCGAAAGGGUAACGACCUCGGGGUAACUCGGGGAGCCUUCACAGGUGCUGCAUGGCUGUCGUCAGCUCGUG
This 1036-nucleotide ribosomal RNA is filed under the name uncultured bacterium. RNAcentral describes it as "bacterial SSU rRNA". It matches the Rfam family "Bacterial small subunit ribosomal RNA", at positions 8 to 1064 of the family's 1533-position model. The record is from RNAcentral.